AAAAAGACAAACUCUGAUUUUCCGUGUCCAAUAUUUGACUAUCCGUUUUAUAUAAUUUUUUUAUAAUUAGUAUUUUCAUUGUUAUUAGAUGAUAAAACAUGAUUAAUACUUUAUGCGUGACUUGUCUUUUUAAAAUUUUUUUAUAAUUUUUUCAAAUAAGAUGGACGGUUAAACGUUGGACACUGAAAUCCAGGGUUUGUCUUUUU
Oryza sativa Japonica Group (Japanese rice) is the source of this 206-nucleotide microRNA precursor. It matches the Rfam family "MIR812 microRNA precursor family". NCBI's taxonomy places the organism in Eukaryota, Viridiplantae, Streptophyta, Magnoliopsida, Poales, Poaceae. The record is from Rfam.